UGCAGCUUGCUGCGGGUACUCGAGUGGCGAACGGGUGAGUAACACGUGGGUGAUCUGCCUUGCACUUCGGGAUAAGCUUGGGAAACUGGGUCUAAUACCGGAUAGGACAGCUGUUUAGUGUCAGUUGUGGAAAGUUUUUUCGGUGCAAGAUGAGCUCGCGGCCUAUCAGCUUGUUGGUGGGGUAAUGGCCUACCAAGGCGUCGACGGGUAGCCGGCCUGAGAGGGUGUACGGCCACAUUGGGACUGAGAUACGGCCCAGACUCCUACGGGAGGCAGCAGUGGGGAAUAUUGCACAAUGGGCGGAAGCCUGAUGCAGCGACGCCGCGUGGGGGAUGAAGGCCUUCGGGUUGUAAACUCCUUUCGACAGGGACGAAGCGUAAGUGACGGUACCUGUAUAAGAAGCACCGGCUAACUACGUGCCAGCAGCCGCGGUAAUACGUAGGGUGCGAGCGUUGUCCGGAAUUACUGGGCGUAAAGAGCUCGUAGGUGGUUUGUCGCGUCGUCUGUGAAAUUCCGGGGCUUAACUCCGGGCGUGCAGGCGAUACGGGCUGACUUGAGUGCUGUAGGGGAGACUGGAAUUCCUGGUGUAGCGGUGAAAUGCGCAGAUAUCAGGAGGAACACCGAUGGCGAAGGCAGGUCUCUGGGCAGUAACUGACGCUGAGGAGCGAAAGCAUGGGUAGCGAACAGGAUUAGAUACCCUGGUAGUCCAUGCCGUAAACGGUGGGCGCUAGGUGUAGGGGGCUUCCACGUCUUCUGUGCCGUAGCUAACGCAUUAAGCGCCCCGCCUGGGGAGUACGCCGCAAGGCUA
RNAcentral lists this ribosomal RNA (808 nucleotides) under uncultured Actinomycetes bacterium. RNAcentral's name for it is "bacterial SSU rRNA". It matches the Rfam family "Bacterial small subunit ribosomal RNA", at positions 74 to 896 of the family's 1533-position model. The record is from RNAcentral. Lineage: Bacteria; Bacillati; Actinomycetota; Actinomycetes.